RNAcentral lists this ribosomal RNA (443 nucleotides) under uncultured bacterium. RNAcentral describes it as "partial 16S ribosomal RNA". It matches the Rfam family "Bacterial small subunit ribosomal RNA", at positions 338 to 795 of the family's 1533-position model. The record is from RNAcentral.
CCUACGGGAGGCAGCAGUGGGGAAUAUUGGGCAAUGGGCGCAAGCCUGACCCAGCAACGCCGCGUGAAGGAAGAAGGCUUUCGGGUUGUAAACUUCUUUUCUCAGGGACGAAGCAAGUGACGGUACCUGAUGAAUAAGCCACGGCUAACUACGUGCCAGCAGCCGCGGUAAUACGUAGGUGGCAAGCGUUAUCCGGAUUUACUGGGUGUAAAGGGCGUGUAGGCGGGAAAGCAAGUCAGAUGUGAAAACCAUGGGCUCAACCUGUGGCCUGCAUUUGAAACUGUUUUUCUUGAGUACUGGAGAGGCAGACGGAAUUCCUAGUGUAGCGGUGAAAUGCGUAGAUAUUAGGAGGAACACCAGUGGCGAAGGCGGUCUGCUGGACAGCAACUGACGCUGAGGCGCGAAAGUGUGGGUAUCAAACAGGAUUAGAUACCCCUGUAGUC